UAUGCUGCACCACGUGGCAUGUGGGAUCAUAGCUCCCUGACCAGGGAUCAAACCUGUGCCCCCUGUAUUGGAAGCAUGGAGUCUUAACAACUGGACCUCCAAGGAAGCCCCUGAAAAGCUUUUAGAUAUGAAAAUAAGGACCUUGUUCUUUGCUGGGGACACCUGCCUGAGACCCGGCCUGAAAGAGCUGCCCGGAUGGACAGACUGAGAGUUGUGCAGCAAGGAAGCCAGACCCACAGAGGAACAGAGCACAGUGCUAAGUGUGCCUCCAGAACCUCAGACCAAAGUUCAAAUCCUGGCUCAGCCGUGUGGUUUCAACAAGUCACUGCCCCUUCCAGGUCCAGCUUCACCUUGUAAGGUGGGAAGAAUAAAAUCAACAACCCAGCCUUACUG
This is a long non-coding RNA of Bos taurus (domestic cattle), 393 nucleotides long. The record is from Ensembl. Lineage: Eukaryota; Metazoa; Chordata; Mammalia; Artiodactyla; Bovidae.